AUAGGUUUUCCGGUUUUAAACAUGCACAACUACAUCCAAUCGUAUGAUGUAUAAACAAAAUGAAAAUUAAAUAAGCCAAUCAGAGCGUUCUCAAUAUUAUGGUUUAUGGAUCAAUCGAUUGAUGAAUAACAAAAAUGAAAAAUAAAUAAGCCAAUCAGAGCGUUCUCCAUAUUAUGGUUUUUGGAUCGCAAGAACCACAACUAUUAUUUUUAUACGACCGCAAAAAUUGAAAAUUUUUGGUCGUAUAUUGGUAUGAUGUUAGCGUCGUCGUCCGUCUGCGUCGUCGUCGUCCGAAUACUUUUAGUUUUCGCACUCUAACUUUACUAAAAGUGAAUAGAAAUCUAUUGAAUUUUAACAUAAGGUUUAUGACCAC
This 373-nucleotide long non-coding RNA is filed under the name Mytilus galloprovincialis (Mediterranean mussel). Lineage: Eukaryota; Metazoa; Mollusca; Bivalvia; Mytilida; Mytilidae. The record is from RNAcentral.